CUACCGGAAAGGCGGAAGAGGGCAGAACUGGGGAGUCACAGGAGGCUCAGUGUCCUGCUCCUAGGAAGAAAAAGCGCUGGAGCCGAGCCAGAGCCUUCCUCAAGUUCUUCCAACGCCAGAGAGACGGCUCACGAGGACAAGCCAAGUCACCCCCAGACAGCCUUCCUGGGCCCCUGGAGGCCAUGCCAUCGUGCUCAUACUGGGAGGAGGAGGGAGACGCCCGCAGGGGGCCCCCACCAAAAGCAAAGGGGCAACGAAAGAGUGCCUUUUGGAGCAGGAAGAAGCAGGACAAAGUCAAAGACCAGCCUCCAGUGGCCAGCUCCGCUUGGUCUAAGAUUCUCAAAUCCUGCACAUCUGGGCACAUCCCACCCUCUCCUCCCUAAAUAGCCUCUCCCUUUUUUCCCCACCCCGAAGAUUUAUAAUCCUUUCCCUUUAUCCCUGUCUUGAUCAUAUACCCUUUAUUUCUGAAAAUUUAAAAAAAAUGUUUAAAAGAAGAAGAAAAAAAAAUAACUCCCACAACAACAACAAAGCCCUAAGAAAACCAGUCCACUUGGAAAAAGAAAAGUCCUGAACCUAAUGGAAACCUCAGUCGCCAUGACAACAAGGCCACACCAAAGCAAAGGAGUCACCAUCGCACUGCCUUAGUGGCUUGAUGUGUCCCCUACUUGGACUCUUGCACCGGCUCUAACUCCUGGGCUACCACAGCCUGGUCCUCCCUCCACCCAUCUCCGUGGGCCCAGUUGGAAACCCGAAGUCUGUCUGGCUUGGCUGUGUCUAUCCAUCUCCGCCGCUCUGCUCCUCAUGGUGACGUCACCCAGUGGAUGCCUGAUGUCAAGUGGUAAGAUUUCAGUGCUUCAGACAUCACGGUGGGUGUGACAUUGAGUGGCUGAGGGGCAGGGGGGCAGGUCCUGGGAGAGUGAGGAGGGUCCCGCCAUCCCGACAGUGGGUGUGGCUCCGGGCGCACAGCCCCUGGGCUGCCUGGAGCCAGAUGCUGUGCAAAAAGCCUGUGCUCGUGCUCCCGAAGCUCCACCGCACG
Myotis lucifugus (little brown bat) is the source of this 1036-nucleotide long non-coding RNA. RefSeq lists it as uncharacterized. Lineage: Eukaryota; Metazoa; Chordata; Mammalia; Chiroptera; Vespertilionidae. The transcript is spliced from 3 exons. The record is from RefSeq and is a predicted model, not a curated record.